AAAUCUGAAAUGAAUGAAAUUGGAAGAAUUAUUGUGAAAAUUAAAAGAAAAGAAAGCUGCGUUGUUCCCCUCAUGGAUUGGACGACGGCGCCCUGAAUUCCUUCCUUUCUGAAAUUCUGAUUUUCCGUACGGACCCGCCAUUCCCAUCAUUCAUUCAUUCUUUCAUUCAUUCAUUCAUUCAUUCUCAUGGACCUCAACCUUCCUUCCUCCCGCUUCCGCCACCGCAAUUCCCCUUCCUCCGAACGCUUUCUCGCCUCCUUCCCUUCUCCCCCCGUUCGCUCUUCAAACCCUAGUUCCACCACCGCCCUCGACGACGAUUCCGAGCUCAACGAAGACGACGUCUUCUGGACCGGCGAUUUUGCUUCCGAUUCCGUCCACCAUAGCCACUCCACUCCUUCUUCCUCUUCCUCUUCAACUCCUCGUCACCAUAUUCAUCACCUCCAGCAUCACAAGGGUUUUCCUCUGCCUGAAACCUUCGGAAUUCUCGCUGCUCUUCCCGAGAACGAGGCCUCCUCCAGUCUUAGAAACUCUUCUCAUUUCUAUCACAAGGCCUCUGUUUCGUCUUCUUCCUCCUCCUCCCCUUCGUCUUCUCGUAUGAUUCCCACGAUCCCCAAACCUCCUCUGGACCGAUUGCCUCUUCCCAUUUCGACCUCGUUGAAGUACCAGUCUGCACCUGUGAAUGUGCCAAUAAUGUCGAAGGCGGUUGUUCAAAGACAGCUGGAGGUUGAUGUGGACGAUGUUGAUGAAGACGAUGGGGAGAUGUUGCCGCCGCAUGAGAUUGUGGCUAGAAGUUUGGCUCAGUCGCCGAUGUUGUCGUGCUCUGUGCUUGAGGGAGCUGGAAGGACGUUAAAAGGGAGGGAUCUUCGUCAGGUUCGCAACGCGGUUUGGAGACGAACAGGUUUUCUUGAUUAAGGAAUUGAAUUCCAGUAAUUAUUUUUGGAGAACAGAUUUGCACCAUUCGCUAAGCUGCUACUGUCUGGUUCACUUUGACCACUUCUUGUGUCGCUCUUUUUAGAAAUAUAUAUUGAGGGUCCAGGAAUAUUUGAAUCUGCUUGACACUCAUCGUAACGAGGAAUUGGAAUUGUAAUUAUCUGAAGGGCGCCUAAGAAUUUUCUUUGAAGCUUAUUUGGGCGUACAAAAGAAGAAGCCCACAAAAAGAGGAAUCCUAUUACAAGAAGGGACUCAAACUAUACAAAAUCAAGUCUAGGAUAAUUACAACAAACCUUUGAUAUUGAAGCCCAAUGAGAGACAUGUAGACGGACAUGAGCACACAAGUCUCCACUCACCCUCUCGACCCCACCCUACUAUUCCUUUCAUCCCACAACAACCAUAAAAUAGCAUAAACACUAGCACACUAGAUAAAAUGGCCUCUCUCCUCAAAGAGUGGAUUGAGGAGAAACUCCUCGAUCAUAUCUCUAACCACUCUGUGACGAACACUACUCAUGCCAAAUGUCUGGAGGAGAGUAUUCCAAACAAAGCUUGCCAACUCACACUGCCAUGGAAUAUGGUCCAGCUCUUCUGGCUUUCGACAAAGGAUACAGGAGAAAGGCGCCAACCCAUGACGGCAACUUCCUCAUAAGCCUGUCCAGUGUACUAAUACGACUGUGGAGAACUUUUCAUUGCAUUAUCUUGUUUUGGCUUAUAAAAAAUUGAGGGGGAGCUAGAAUAAUCUAGGAAUGACGGUAAGGAACUUAUAGAACCUGAAUUCAUUUUAUUAGUAUGCAUAGACUAAAGGCAAUCGUUAUCAAGUGAAAAUUUGUGAUGCUGGUCUUGUACUUCCAUCUAGAUAGAGUAGGAUUUGAUCGAUAAUACUUUCAUUUGUUAUAUCAGAGUUUUCCACACUUUUCAGCUCAUAAAUAUAUUGAUGGAUCCUUACUGUUGGUGAUGUUGCUUGCUUGACCUCCAGCAUUUUCUUUCCGUGUCUGCAGGAAAUACUUGUUGAAUUUUUUUUAUGAGAUGGGAUCCUGAUGCAAUAGAUUUAAAUAGCUAAAUCCAAAAUUCAGAUAAACUAAUUAACCACAACUCUAAUUACUACACUGAAAAAAUAUCUAAUAAAAUAUUUUGCUGCAUCAUUCGCUCCAAUUUUUUAAGAGAACUCAUUCAAGGGGAUCGAUAGCGUUCAUCAAAGUGGCUAUGAGAGUGGUUCCCUCCCUUGUCAGUUCAAUAUGGUACUGGGGAUGGCUUUUUCACCUUCUAUGGCUCUUUAUGCUAUCUAUUUAAACCUGCUGCACCAUAAUUUUUUAAGGGAGUACAUUUUUUAUUAUUUGUUUCUAUAUGUUAUUAUUAUCUUCUAGAUUUGACACAGGCAAUGACCAUAGCUUGACUUUCCUGAAAAAAAUGAGAUCAAGUCGUCUUGAUGGUUUCUGAAGUCUAGAGAACGAUGUAGUACUUUUCUUUUUUGUUGUCCUGUUCUUAACUUGUUUCCUUUCAUUUUUGCCCCUUGAUGUGACGAAAAAACACUUAAAUAUGCUUGUUUCUUCAACCCUGGCUCCACCAUAUGGGCAUAGCUUGACUCUCUUAGAAAAAUGAGGCCAAGUCCUCUCUAUUGUUUCUGAAGUUUGGAGAGUGAUGUGCUUCUUUUUUUCCUUUUUCCUGUCCUAUUCUUAACUCGUUUCCUUUCGUUUUCUUCCCUCACGUAUUCUUGUUCUGUCAUAUUUUUGUUGCUAGAAAUUGUGAUGAAAAAAAGAACAUAAUAUGCUUGUUUCUUUAACCAUCACUCCACCAUUGUAAGUUUAUGGAAAAUUGAGAUAUUUUUCAAGUACUGUGCAGACAUGGACAACUUUCGUUCUCCAUCAAGCAGUUACUUAGAGUUUCAGGUAUUUACAGGCUAAAGUGAAAAAUACUGGCACGGUAAUUUAGCUUAUAGUACCUAAAGAAAGUGAUCACAACACUAUUUUCACAAAUCAUUUGAUCCCUUCAUCACACAUUGUUAGAUUAGUAGGUUCAGUCAUUAAUUUUGUCUUGUAUAUGGUUAAAAUUUGCAUUACCUUCGUCUGAAUCUUGCUGAUAUUACUUACAAUAUUCUCAAUCUUCUCCACAGCAUUCAAAUGGUGGAGAAUCAUUUUGUAUGUUCAUUGAAGCUAGCAAGUAACUCUCAAUGUUCUAUUUUAGAUUUUCAAUCUCCUUAUCAAACUGGAAGAAAGAGAAUCGUUUUGUUUGUUGAGGUUUCUUGCCUCUGAGAAAUGACACCAUUAUCAAAUCAAAUCCAGUUUUGUUCUACAUUAUGUUGGACUAAAAAUUUUACAGGGGUAUUCUGUCUCCUGCAGGCAUCUUCCCCAAGUCUCAGGUGCUUUACUUUUGCUAUUAAUGCCCUCUGCUUGCUAAAUCUUAAAGAGAAACAAGUAAACUGCGGCCUUCCCUUAUGUGUAUGAUGACCAAAACAGAAGAAAGCCUCAAUUGUUGAGUUUCUCAAAUUUUUAGCAAACAUCCAUGGAAACAUAACAUAGUCAAUAUGCAGAUAUUUUAUUUCUGUGUAAUGUGUCAUUUUACAGAUCUUGUUAUUGUUUCUGUAUCCUCCAGCUAUGAUCAUACAUUAAUUGUUUUUAAUGGAAGAAAUUUUAGCUGAUCACCAUUAUUCUUGCAGACAGGUCUGCAAAUGCAACCUGUUGGUUAAGACUUUCGGUUCAUAGGUAUGAUUUGAUCCUAAACAGUAGUUUGUAUUGUCACAAUUUAGUCCAUAGUAUUACUAUUUAUACUAUUCUGUACU
Long non-coding RNA from Cucumis sativus (cucumber), 3706 nucleotides. RefSeq lists it as uncharacterized. The record is from RefSeq and is a predicted model, not a curated record. The transcript has 3 exons. Lineage: Eukaryota; Viridiplantae; Streptophyta; Magnoliopsida; Cucurbitales; Cucurbitaceae.